RNAcentral lists this non-coding RNA (35 nucleotides) under Alexandrium minutum. The record is from RNAcentral. Lineage: Eukaryota; Dinophyceae; Gonyaulacales; Pyrocystaceae.
UUUUUUUUUUUUUUUUUUUUUUUUUUUUUUUUUUA